RNAcentral lists this ribosomal RNA (253 nucleotides) under uncultured bacterium. Its description in RNAcentral is "partial 16S ribosomal RNA". It matches the Rfam family "Bacterial small subunit ribosomal RNA", at positions 524 to 776 of the family's 1533-position model. The record is from RNAcentral.
UACAGAGGGUGCGAGCGUUGUUCGGAAUUAUUGGGCGUAAAGGGCGCGUAGGCGGUGCGGUAAGUCACCUGUGAAAUCCCCAGGCUCAACCUGGGAACUGCGUCCGAUACUGGCAGGCUUGAAUCCGGGAGAGGGAUGUGGAAUUCCAGGUGUAGCGGUGAAAUGCGCAGAUAUCAGGAGGAACACCGGUGGCGAAGGCGGGUCUCUGGGCCGAUACUGACGCUGAGGAGCGAAAGCGUGGGGAGCAAACAGG